UUGGCUUUAUCCUGCCUAGGUAUGAUGCAAAUUUGUUUUCAACACGUGUAUUUGAAGAAAAGGAUGACCAAGUUUAAAGGGAAUUUUGUAAUGGUCUCUAUUUUUACAUGGUAUUCCAUGUCUCCAUUUUUCUUCUCCAGUUUUGAAUUUAAAGAAUUUCUAGAUUUUAUACAAAAGCAAUCUGGGGAGAUAAAGUCAAUAGAAUUCUUCAUCAUUGCUCAAUCUGUUUAAAAAGCAAAAGACCAAAGAUAGAUUCUUCCUAUCAAUGAUCAGACUUUGUGAUAGACUCCUCUCCAAAAAGUUACCAAGACACUGUUACACGGAACAAAGAUUUAAUAAAAAUUGCUGAUAGCCAAGAGUAAUAUGGGAAGAGUAAAAAUAAAUGUUAUAUACCUACAGGAUAAUAAUGAAACAAAUGAUUUUUUAGUGAAUUUUUAACUUACCAACAUUUUUCAGAUAUUUGCUCAAAUCCUUGUCUCUUUAGAAAAGUCUUGGGUUUUUUUUUUCAGAAGUCUUCCCAAAUGAGGAUUUCAUUCUUUUCUGUUUGGAGGGAAACAUUUUACGAAAGAAAGAAAGAA
Long non-coding RNA from Neofelis nebulosa (Clouded leopard), 578 nucleotides. RefSeq lists it as uncharacterized. The transcript is spliced from 3 exons. Lineage: Eukaryota; Metazoa; Chordata; Mammalia; Carnivora; Felidae. The record is from RefSeq and is a predicted model, not a curated record.